RNAcentral lists this ribosomal RNA (414 nucleotides) under uncultured bacterium. RNAcentral's name for it is "bacterial SSU rRNA". It matches the Rfam family "Bacterial small subunit ribosomal RNA", at positions 355 to 767 of the family's 1533-position model. The record is from RNAcentral.
UAAGGAAUAUUGGUCAAUGGACGCAAGUCUGAACCAGCCAUGCCGCGUGAAGGAUGAAGGUCCUCUGGAUUGUAAACUUCUUUUAUCUGGGACGAAAACGGGAUUUUUAUCUCAAUUGACGGUACCAGAGGAAUAAGCACCGGCUAACUCCGUGCCAGCAGCCGCGGUAAUACGGAGGGUGCGAGCGUUAUCCGGAUUUACUGGGUUUAAAGGGUGCGUAGGUGGGCUUAUAAGUCAGUGGUGAAAUCUCCGAGCUUAACUUGGAAACUGCCGUUGAUACUAUAGGUCUUGAAUUAUCUGGAGGUAAGCGGAAUAUGUCAUGUAGCGGUGAAAUGCUUAAAUAUGACAUAGAACACCAAUUGCGAAGGCAGCUUACUACAUAUAAAUUGACGCUGAGGCACGAAAGCGUGGGGA